GACGAACGCUGGCGGCGUGCUUAACACAUGCAAGUCGAACGGGAUUUCGUAAACAGACGCCUCGGUGGAAGAUUACUAAUGAGAGUGGCGAACGGGUGAGUAACGCGUGAGCAACCUGCCUAUGACAGUGGGAUAGCCUCGGGAAACCGGGAUUAAUACCGCAUAAAAUCGUAGAAACACAUGUUUUAACGGUCAAAGAUUUAUCGGUCAUAGAUGGGCUCGCGUCUGAUUAGCUAGUUGGUGAGAUAACAGCCCACCAAGGCGACGAUCAGUAGCCGGUCUGAGAGGAUGAACGGCCACAUUGGAACUGAGACACGGUCCAAACUCCUACGGGAGGCAGCAGUGGGGAAUAUUGCACAAUGGGGGAAACCCUGAUGCAGCGACGCCGCGUGAACGAAGAAGGUAUUCGUAUCGUAAAGUUCUGUCCUAUGGGAAGAUAAUGACAGUACCAUAGAAGAAAGCUCCGGCUAAAUACGUG
Molecule: ribosomal RNA, 478 nt
Filed under: uncultured bacterium
Lineage: Bacteria
Description: partial 16S ribosomal RNA
Rfam family: Bacterial small subunit ribosomal RNA
Source: RNAcentral